Long non-coding RNA from Mustela lutreola (European mink), 3044 nucleotides. RefSeq lists it as uncharacterized. The record is from RefSeq and is a predicted model, not a curated record. NCBI's taxonomy places the organism in Eukaryota, Metazoa, Chordata, Mammalia, Carnivora, Mustelidae. The transcript is spliced from 2 exons.
AAUAAAUAAAAUCUUUGAAAUGCUGGGGCUCUGUGAGGCAUGGUCAGAAAAUCACCAAAUGAAAACUGUUCCUGGAUUCCUUCCAGUUCUGGUGUUUUUGAGGUUGUGAUCAUUCACCUGUGUGUCCUGAGCUGGGCUGGAUCACAGCCUUGUCUUUCUUGGCAGCUGGGAGUUUGCGGGACCCGCAGGCGUUGGCAGAGGACACACGGGAAAGAGCCUUAGCUCUGGGUGUCUGGCUCCUCCUCGCUUCUUUAACCCCUUUCCUGAUCUUGUGACCCAUUUCUCCUUUCUCCUAAUGCAAACUGAGUGUCCUCCCAUCCCUGGUCAGGGGCCAAGGUGCUGCGCAGCGCAGCUCGGAAGGAGUGUUCUAGGUUGUCAGUACGACUUAGCCUUGUGUUCCGUCCUGCAGGUGGAGUGGAGAUCCUUGAAGCAGAGCCUGCCUUCCUCUCAGAUAAACUUGACCCUCAACAGUCCUAGAAACCUGAGGUCCCAGCGACUACACUCUGCUUGAAGCACUAAGACCAGCCCUGGUUGCCACCAACCGAAGAGAGACGCCACUGUCAGCCAGGCUGGGGAAGAAACUUGAAACGGGACAAAGGCAGACUCUUGGACACGAUCAAAGCGGCAAGGCGGAAAGCAGAGAACACAGGAGAGCCAGGAGAGCUGGCUUCAAACUACAGGGAGGGACAGGGCAAGACAAAGAACACUUAUUAAAUACUGACUGUGCUCUGAGCUCAGUACCACAUACUUAAACACCCAUUGCGACCCUGUGGAAGCAGGCAGAACUCUCGCAUGAGACGACGUGAGGAAGAAGCAAAGGGACCUGCCCAAAGGCCCCCAUAGCCAGGGAGCACAGGCUGGCAGAUCUGUUGGCCUCACGUCACGACCUCUGUAACCGGACUGCGUAACCCAUGUGUGACUGUAGAGCUUUCUCAUAUUCCGAGCUGGCAUGAUGGCAUGGAAGUUCUGUACCAGUUCCUCACCAUCGAAGGUGUCCGAGGAGAUGCUGGAUGGAGAUCUUCAAAGAUAUUAAAGAGAGAAUUUAUUCAUGCCUUGUUGGAGGGUGGAAAUGCAUCAUCCAGGAAAGCACCUUCUAGCUUUGAGAUUCUGAGUUUCUAUACUUUUCUAUACUUCUAUACUUUCUAUACUUUGGGGUAUACUCUUCAGGUAUAUGAAGGGAUUUCCUUUCCCUGUAUUUUUCACCUUCUCAUCUGUCUCCUUCUUCCCUUCAUGCAGAUACUCUGUUCUGGGAACAUGUUUUUUUCUAAAAGGAGACGGUGGCUGGCAGUUUGGGCGACUAGGAUAGCAGAAACACCAUACUACUCUCUCUGGUUGGUGAGUCUACAUUUUUACCAAGUUUACUAAGGAGAUUGCGUUAUAUUCGGGUGAGGCAAACCUGGAAAGAUGUUAAGAGGAAGCAAUUAUAUCACCCCUCCUUCCCUCUCCUCCGAUUUCUUGUUACCAAGCAAACCCCAUACCCCCUGAAUGUAGAAUUUAGGGAAGGGGUUGACUGAAGAUUCAUAUUCUGCUAUCCCAUCAUGAUGGGGACUUGAUAGAGAAUCUGGAAAUUUUUUGGAAAAUAAAGCAGUAUUUCCUGCAUGCCUGAGCUGGGGAACAGAGACCUAAUUUAAGCCGUGCAGACCUAACAUUUUUUGGUCCUCUGCUGCCCCUGUGUGGGCACAGUGGGAAACAACACCUCAAGAUUUCGCUUGUGGCCACGGUGAAAUUGGACUUGAAAGAACCACCCCGAGAACCGCUGGAGGUUUAUGACCACGAGGAGGGAGUCAGGAACUGUUCCUAUGGCCAGAAAGCUAGGGGCUUCCAGGAGAGAGGUGGGGAGCCCCUACAAGCUGUCAAUGACUUCACCAAAGUCGUGUCCACCAGCUUUAUUUUUCCUCAAGACAUCUGCAGCCAGGAGGCGAGCCAUCAUCUCAAGACUCGCAGGCAUGCACCUCUGCGGCUUCUGGCCGCGACCAGCGCCCGCGGGCACAGCGCCAACCCUCCCACACCUUCUCUUCCUGCGCUUGGAGUAACAAGUCUGUGAGUGUCUCCCUCUGGUUUCACAGCUUUUCACACCCUCUCUUUACCGUCUGUCUCGACACCACCAUCUACACAACAUAUCUACACCAUGGCAUGGCGUUCGUGCUUGCAGCAUCACUGACUCCCUGCACAGGCACGGGACAGAGAUGACACUUGUGUUCUUAAAUGAGCGAGGGGGAACACUUGGGCACAAUGGGGGAGGGUGCGGAGGGGGCUCUGGGUGACUGGGAGCAGCCUGGCUGGAAUCCAGGGUGUCGGAGUCCGAGGACUGCCGUCUACUUACAGCUUUAGCUGCUUCCUUCCCCGGUCAGCUCCCUCCUGGGUGCCCAGCACACCAGCCAGCCUCACCCCCCAGCCCCUCCCGACCAACAGCAGCAGUGGUGGGAGCCCCAGCCCUCUUGCUCUCCUGCCCCCAGGAGAGGAUGGGUUAUCUGGGCCUCCUCUCUCCAGCUGGGAGCCAGGGCCAAAUGCACCUGGCCUGACCUCCUGUCCCCUCCCCUCAUGCCUCCAGACCCUGCCGCAGCCUGCGAUCCAGGGCCAGGAGCUGCCGCAAGAAGCCCCGGUUGGGGAUGAUGCCUCGGUGGUCCUUGACCUUCUUGAUGGCCUCCACAAGGGUGAGGUGGUGGUACAGCAUGAGGUAGGCCAGCACCAGCGUGGCGGACCGGCUCACGCCCACGGCGCAGUGCACCAGGAUCUUCCCUGCGAGGACAGACACACGAGGCGGCCGUGGGACCAUAUGUGGUGGGCUGGAGGCGGCGAGGGCUACAGGGUUGGGUGAGGAGGGAGAUGGGGAAGCGGGGUGCAGACUGCGGGUGGGAGGAAUGCUGACCCCUGGGAUGCCUGGACAGGAUACACAGACCCAUAGCACGCAGCAGCUCAGCCUCCGGGAGCCUAAAAAGGGCUCCCAGGGAGACAGAUGCUUGUCACUAAUGCAAAACCGAGUCUCGCACAGAGUGGUGAUCUGCCUGAGUGUAUCAAGUACAUUAGCAUUGGGCCUCGGUGAA